Molecule: long non-coding RNA, 589 nt
Organism: Carassius carassius (crucian carp)
Lineage: Eukaryota; Metazoa; Chordata; Actinopteri; Cypriniformes; Cyprinidae
Exons: 4
Source: RefSeq, a predicted model, not a curated record
GGUGGAGUAUUCGAGUUCAGGCGGGAAAAACGAAUACGUGAUGACGCAACACGUUGAAUUAAUUGUUUUUGUUUAUGCUAUGGCGCCCAACAAAAUAAAACACGUCUCGUGUACAUCACAGCGCACACCAGAAAAGAUGACAUCCGUGAUGGAGUGGCUUUCCAGCCAAGCUGUCCAAAACAUGCACUCUGUAAUCCCUUUCAGGAAUGUCUCCUCAAAAAGCCCAGAGGAAUGCUGGGAUCCCCCUGCAGUACUACAUCCAGCACAACACCUCCAAGAGAAGAUAAUGUGAAAACCCCAACAGGCAAGUUGUUGACUUCCAGUCACCAAACAAAGACUCCUAAGGAACAGAGAUUUUAUUUGAAGGAUAGAUAAACUGGGUUCUGCAGAGUUUUUUCAUUCUGACCACAAAAAAGCGCAUUUGACUUUUUAAACCUAAAUUACUCAGUUUAUAUAUUUGAUAUUAUUAUUUAAUUUCAAUAGUUAUAUUGUGAAAUAUUAUAAUCUAAAAUAACAGUUUUCUAGUUUAAUGUAUUCUAAAAUGUCCUUUUUUUUAUUUAAUGGCAAAGCUGACUAUUCAGCAUCAUUA